This 205-nucleotide unclassified non-coding RNA is filed under the name Glomeraceae sp. RNAcentral's name for it is "partial contains 5.8S ribosomal RNA and internal transcribed spacer 2". The stretch from base 1 to 71 matches the Rfam family "5.8S ribosomal RNA", at positions 84 to 154 of the family's 154-position model. The record is from RNAcentral. Lineage: Eukaryota; Fungi; Glomeromycota; Glomeromycetes; Glomerales; Glomeraceae.
GUGAAUCAUCAAAUUUUUGAACGCAAAUUGCACUCUCUGGUAUUCCGGAAAGUAUGCCUGUUUGAGGGUCAGUUAAAUAAAAAUCGGUGUUGUUGCUGCCUUUUGUGGUGACGCGACGGAAUUGAGUUGUCUUACCUUUGGUUAAGUGACUUAGAAUUUUGCCUGAUUUUCGAACGUCUUAAAAUUUUUUAUGUACGUUCGAGAU